GUAGGUGGCAAGCGUUGUCCGGGAAUUAUUGGGCGUAAAGCGCGCGCAGGCGGUUCUUUAAGUCUGAUGUGAAAGCCCACGGGCUCAACCGUGGAGGGUCAUUGGAGACUGGAGAACUUGAGUACAGAAGAGGAAAGCGGAAUUCCACGUGUAGCGGUGAAAUGCGUAGAGAUGUGGAGGAACACCAGUGGCGAAGGCGGCUUUCUGGUCUGUAACUGACGCUGAGGCGCGAAAGCGUGGGGAGCAAACAGGAUUAGAUACCCUGGUAGUCCACGCCGUAAACGAUGAGUGCUAAGUGUUAGGGGGUUUCCGCCCCUUAGUGCUGCAGCUAACGCAUUAAGCACUCCGCCUGGGGAGUACGGCCGCAAAGGCUG
RNAcentral lists this ribosomal RNA (374 nucleotides) under uncultured organism. RNAcentral's name for it is "partial 16S ribosomal RNA". It matches the Rfam family "Bacterial small subunit ribosomal RNA", at positions 527 to 896 of the family's 1533-position model. The record is from RNAcentral.